GGGCCUGCACAAGCGGUGGAGCAUGUGGUUUAAUUCGAUGCAACGCGAAGAACCUUACCAGGUCUUGACAUCCUCGGAACUUGGCAGAGAUGCCUUGGUGCCUUCGGGAGCCGAGUGACAGGUGCUGCAUGGCCGUCGUCAGCUCGUGUCGUGAGAUGUUGGGUUAAGUCCCGUAACGAGCGCAACCCUUGUCCUUAGUUGCCAGCACGUCAUGGUGGGAACUCUAGGGAGACUGCCGGUGACAAACCGGAGGAAGGUGGGGACGACGUCAGGUCAUCAUGGCCCUUACGACCUGGGCUACACACGUGCUACAAUGGCGGUGACAAUGGGCAGCGACCUCGCGAGGGGAAGCAAAUCCGUGAAAAGCCGUCUCAGUUCGGAUUGUACUCUGCAACUCGAGUGCAUGAAGUCGGAAUCGCUAGUAAUCG
This 428-nucleotide ribosomal RNA is filed under the name uncultured bacterium. RNAcentral's name for it is "bacterial SSU rRNA". It matches the Rfam family "Bacterial small subunit ribosomal RNA", at positions 917 to 1344 of the family's 1533-position model. The record is from RNAcentral.